Molecule: long non-coding RNA, 158 nt
Organism: Triticum dicoccoides
Lineage: Eukaryota; Viridiplantae; Streptophyta; Magnoliopsida; Poales; Poaceae
Exons: 3
Source: RefSeq, a predicted model, not a curated record
UUGCAGGAUCUAAUCUCUCCCAUGGCGGUCGGCGGCGCUCUGGCCGUGGAGGCCUGCUCCUCAUGCUCCUCCUCUGGAUCUAAUUCUUGAUUCUUGCGUCGGUCUGAACUGUGCGAUUUACGUUUCGUCAGAGGUCUGUUCUUGGGAUUCUAGUGCUG